GAGCUGUGAAGAAAUUGGCUUUAGUGAAGGUUGGGUCCUUUGCAUUCUUCUGAUUACAAGAUGAUAGAGCCGCACCUGAGCUC
This is a small nucleolar RNA of Raphanus sativus (radish), 83 nucleotides long. RefSeq annotates it as small nucleolar RNA snoR114. Lineage: Eukaryota; Viridiplantae; Streptophyta; Magnoliopsida; Brassicales; Brassicaceae. The record is from RefSeq and is a predicted model, not a curated record. The transcript has a single exon.